RNAcentral lists this long non-coding RNA (2920 nucleotides) under Homo sapiens (human). RNAcentral's name for it is "HSALNT0013510". Lineage: Eukaryota; Metazoa; Chordata; Mammalia; Primates; Hominidae. The record is from RNAcentral.
GUCAGCUUAUUAUUACUCAUCUUUCUUAUUUAUUUCUUUAAACAGAAUCUACUCCAAAGAUUGACCAAAAAUCAUGGACAAGACCCGGCUAUCUUUCAUGGAGCAUUAGCAAUGGCAAAGAACUUAGAAAUCCUCUCUUUUGACACUUCCAUUUUAAAGACAGGAAACUGAAGCCCAGAAAGUCCUGAAGGCUGUCAUAACUGGUGAUUAGUGGCAGAGCUGGGACUUGAAUCUACUACUCUUUCAGCCCAUCCAUGCCAUGCUUAUCAUUAUGAAUGACCCAGUGAAACAUCCAUAUAGCAUUCCUCAGUGCCCCACUUUACCAGGAAGGUGCUCUCAUCAAUUGCAAUCUGACCUAAGCAAAAUUCUCACUGGUUCAAUGUUUCUGCAGACUGGCAUUAAUGGAAUAGGCAGUCAUGCUCAUCUAAUCAUGUCUUUCUUUAAAUAGCUUGGGCUGACAUGUUGUUUUCUGUCCAGAAGAUAGAUAGGCAAACACCAGCACAACUAGCAUUUAUCAAGUAUCUAUUAUAGGGCCCUCAAUGAGAUUAGGGUUUUUGUUUGCAUUAUUUUAACAUUAUCUUUAAUAGUCUAUGAGGUAUUGAAGUCUAUCUUAUAGCUAAUAAAUAAUGGAACCAAAGGCUAAAAUCCAGGACUUUUUUUAAAAAAAGCUAGGUCUAGGGCUCUUUCUCUGUGUUUUGCCUUCCAGGGUACGGCAGAAAAACCACUGAAUUUAUCCCAAAGACUGUAGCUUCUUUAGAAGCAAAAUAUGCCAAUAAAAUCUCGGUUUCCAGAGGGGGAGUCAAUGGAAAUCAAAUAAGAAUGUAUUUCAUUCUGUCAUCUCCUGACCUAUAAAACAGAGUUAGAAGACCAGACUCCUGGAGAGUUGCUGCCAUUAGGCCUUACAGGAGUCUCUGCUCAUUUCUCGUUGUUCCAGAUUUUUCAAUCUUGUCUUCAGGCCAGUUUCUUGAUCUCCUCUCAUCACAGCAGCACUCCAUCCUGUCCAAGCAUAAGAAAUCUGUGCUGUCUUGGACAGAUGACAGAACUUAGACUUUAAACCACUGAUUUUUUUGUGGUGGGCAUUUAGGAGUGCUAAAGCCAAAAAUAGAUGCUCAUUUAAAUCUAAGGGUUACUCUCCCAUCUUCUCACUUCCAUCUUAAUGUCACCUAGUUCUAAUCAGGGUCUACUGCUUAAUGCAGUAAGAGAAAAAUGAUGUUUUGUUUACAAUAGCAGGUCCCAUUGUGACUGUGUUCUUGUAGUGCAACUCUUUUCAAAGCAAAGUUUUCCCUGAGAUAGUGAGCUGAAAUAAAUAUAUAUCCCCUACUGCUGAUUCUUCUUUAUUUUUUUCUCUAAACAGAAAGGACAGUGCCAUUGAAAGCAUAAAAUGCACCUAAAAAAAUAUUCUUCAGUAAAGCCCAAUAGAAUCAAGGUGUGACAUCCCCAAGAACAGCCAAGUCACAAAAGAGCUAGUCAUGCUGAAGGCCAAGUUAAAUAACCCAUAAUUUUGGAUCUCUGGGUCCCACUAGCACCCUUGAGUGUGGGCUUAUAAAAUUCCUGAACGGGCAAGACGGCCCCUGUUGAAUCUUGCUUGACUUGGCCCCUUCAUGGGUAACUCUUCUGUGAUUUGGCUUUCCCCACACAUCUCACACCUUCCCACAAGUGACCUUUUCACUCUGUGCUUGGCUUUUCUGUGGUGGGUUAAGUGUCUGCACACAUUCACAUCAUCAUGUUCCCGAUGUGAAGAUGACAUGGUCAUACAUGCUAUUGAUCUCCAAAUAUUCAAAGGACAUUGAAGCUCUGCUCAGGCUCCUGCAGUCUUUUCUGGGAUAAGUAUGGAUAUAAGGAUAUGGCAAGAUGAUGAAUGCCCUACGUAUAUCUAUUGUUCUGAUUUGCGUAGCCCCUUGAGCUGCACAGCACUUCUUAUAAAAGUGAGCUUCCACAUGUCUAAUGGUGCUUAGUCCCUUAGACUCUAAAUCUUAGACCAUGUGUUGUUAUUUCAUACCACCCCAGAGCCAUUUCCUCUUAUAUAAAAUUUCCAGAAAUCCAUAGGCAUACUGCAUCACGUGGCAGUGGGCUUCUGCAUUUCCUUGGAGCAUUAUGACAGGCCACUCUAAUUAUAAUCACUGGUUGUCAGCUUAUCCUCUGUCUGUGUUAAGCAGUCUCACUUUCAACUACUCAUCGUCAUCUCCAGAAAGCCUCCCCUGAACUUUAGGCUGACCCAACUGCUCCCAUAGUAUCCAUAUUUACCUCUAUUUUGGCAUUUCCUCACUACAGUAAUUGUUUCUAUUUUUGGUCUGUCACCACAAUAGACACAUUAGAGCUCCUAAGUUGGAUGGACUAGCUCUCACUUAUCUGCAUAUUACCAACACUUAGCACUAUGUCCUGCAGAAAAUAUACAUUCAGUACAUAUUGGUGAGCCAUUGUUGAAGGUUUAGUUGAAUGGGUUAAGGUAAAAAUUAUUUCCAGGCCUGUGAAUUAAUUCUAUUCCAGAACUCUUUCUGUUGCCAAUAUUAGUGUGAUGAAAUAUUAAGUAUGACUUGUGUUGACACUCAGACAGAAGGACAUAUGGCCCACUAGAAUUGUCACUGCAAAAAGGCUAAUUAGUUUAACUCUCAAAGGGUAACUUUAUUUACCAUGCCUUUGUUGGAGGGGAGGUGUUGAAAGAAUGACUGACUUCCCCAUGCUUUCACCUUGUAGGAGACAAGGAAUUUGGCGGCCACAUAGAUUGGCCUUUAGUUUUGCCUAUACCUCAGUAUCCUUCAGUAUUAUCUUCCUUAAAUCUUCCCAAAAGUCUGUAUAAGGUUUCAUGGACAUUACCAAACUAAACUGCCUGAUAAGACGUAUGUACCCCUCAACCUCUGUUUCAACUUUUUAUCUAUCGUCUUCCCACCCUCCACUGAAACGCAAGCAUGCCUUUGUCUCA